This 465-nucleotide ribosomal RNA is filed under the name uncultured Klebsiella sp. RNAcentral describes it as "bacterial SSU rRNA". It matches the Rfam family "Bacterial small subunit ribosomal RNA", at positions 338 to 795 of the family's 1533-position model. Lineage: Bacteria; Pseudomonadati; Pseudomonadota; Gammaproteobacteria; Enterobacterales; Enterobacteriaceae. The record is from RNAcentral.
CCUACGGGUGGCAGCAGUGGGGAAUAUUGCACAAUGGGCGCAAGCCUGAUGCAGCCAUGCCGCGUGUGUGAAGAAGGCCUUCGGGUUGUAAAGCACUUUCAGCGGGGAGGAAGGCGUUAAGGUUAAUAACCUUGGCGAUUGACGUUACCCGCAGAAGAAGCACCGGCUAACUCCGCGCCAGCAGCCGCGGCAAUACGGAGGGUGCAAGCGUUAAUCGGAAUUACUGGGCGUAAAGCGCACGCAGGCGGUCUGUCAAGUCGGAUGUGAAAUCCCCGGGCUCAACCUGGGAACUGCAUUCGAAACUGGCAGGCUAGAGUCUUGUAGAGGGGGGUAGAAUUCCAGGUGUAGCGGUGAAAUGCGUAGAGAUCUGGAGGAAUACCGGUGGCGAAGGCGGCCCCCUGGACAAAGACUGACGCUCAGGUGCGAAAGCGUGGGGAGCAAACAGGAUUAGAUACCCCGGUAGUC